CCUACGGGAGGCAGCAGUGGGGAAUAUUGGACAAUGGGCGAAAGCCUGAUCCAGCCAUGCCGCGUGUGUGAAGAAGGCCUUCGGGUUGUAAAGCACUUUCAGUGGGGAAGAAAGCCUUGGGGCUAAUACCCUCGAGGAAGGACAUCACCCACAGAAGAAGCACCGGCUAACUCCGUGCCAGCAGCCGCGGUAAUACGGAGGGUGCGAGCGUUAAUCGGAAUUACUGGGCGUAAAGCGCGCGUAGGCGGUCUGAUAAGCCGGUUGUGAAAGCCCCGGGCUCAACCUGGGAACGACAUCCGGAACUGUCAGGCUAGAGUGCAGGAGAGGAAGGUAGAAUUCCCGGUGUAGCGGUGAAAUGCGUAGAGAUCGGGAGGAAUACCAGUGGCGAAGGCGGCCUUCUGGACUGACACUGACGCUGAGGUGCGAAAGCGUGGGUAGCAAACAGGAUUAGAUACCCUAGUAGUC
This 465-nucleotide ribosomal RNA is filed under the name Vreelandella stevensii. RNAcentral's name for it is "partial 16S ribosomal RNA". It matches the Rfam family "Bacterial small subunit ribosomal RNA", at positions 338 to 795 of the family's 1533-position model. The record is from RNAcentral. Lineage: Bacteria; Pseudomonadati; Pseudomonadota; Gammaproteobacteria; Oceanospirillales; Halomonadaceae.